This 301-nucleotide ribosomal RNA is filed under the name uncultured bacterium. Its description in RNAcentral is "partial 16S ribosomal RNA". It matches the Rfam family "Bacterial small subunit ribosomal RNA", at positions 509 to 809 of the family's 1533-position model. The record is from RNAcentral.
CAGUAGCCGCGGGAAAACGUAGGGUGCAAGCGUUAAUCGGAAUUACUGGGCGUAAAGCGUGCGCAGGCGGUUAUAUAAGACAGAUGUGAAAUCCCCGGGCUCAACCUGGGAACUGCAUUUGUGACUGUAUAGCUAGAGUACGGCAGAGGGGGAUGGAAUUCCGCGUGUAGCAGUGAAAUGCGUAGAUAUGCGGAGGAACACCGAUGGCGAAGGCAAUCCCCUGGGCCUGUACUGACGCUCAUGCACGAAAGCGUGGGGAGCAAACAGGAUUAGAUACCCCCGUAGUCCCUGUCUUUAUACA